RNAcentral lists this ribosomal RNA (1546 nucleotides) under Staphylococcus sp. OCAT12. Its description in RNAcentral is "partial 16S ribosomal RNA". It matches the Rfam family "Bacterial small subunit ribosomal RNA". The record is from RNAcentral. Lineage: Bacteria; Bacillati; Bacillota; Bacilli; Caryophanales; Staphylococcaceae.
UCGAAGGGGGGGCUCCUUUGACGGGGGGGGGGGGGCCGGCCGGGAAAUUACAAAGGCCCCACCAACCGGGGAGGUUUUUUUUUUUGGUUUUGUCUCGGGGGGCAGGGCCCGGCUUAACAGAAGAAAAAAGAAGGCUUUCUUUUGUUGGGGGAGGGGGGAGAAAAGGGACCUCCCUCCAUGAGGGUGGGUAUUGUGGGAGCCGGGAUUUUCCCCAUAAUAAUUACCCCGCCCUUUAAUAGAGAGGGCGGUGUCCUCCCUUAAUAAAGCGGCCGGCCUGUUUUGUUGUUGGAAGGACGGCUCCCACACCGCACAAUUCCUACCCCCCUGGAAGGGGGGUUGCCCCACCGGAAUGGAAACCCCGUCCGAUCUCUUUCGGGGGGCGAGCGUAGGUAUUUUCCCUAAUGGGGGGAAGCCUACCGGAGCCAACGCCGCGUGAGUGAUGAAGUUUUCUGGUUCGUAAAACUCUGUUUUCCAGUGAAGAACAAAUGUGUAAGUAACUGUGCACAUCUCGACGGUACCUGAUCAGAAAGCCACGGCUAAUUACGUGCCAGCAGCCGCGGUAAUACGUAGUUGGCAAGCGUAUUCCGGAAAUAUUGUGCGUAAAGCGCGCGUAGGCGGUGUGUUAGUUUUGAUGUGAAAGCACACGGCUCCAACCGUGGAGGGUCAUUGGAAACUGGAAAACUUGAGUGCAGAAGAGGAAAGUGGAAUUCCAUGUGUAGCGGUGAAAUGCGCAGAGAUAUGGAGGAACACCAGUGGCGAAGGCGACUUUCUGGUCUGUAACUGACGCUGAUGUGCGAAAGCGUGGGGAUCAAACAGGAUUAGAUACCCUGGUAGUCCACGCCGUAAACGAUGAGUGCUAAGUGUUAGGGGGUUUCCGCCCCUUAGUGCUGCAGCUAACGCAUUAAGCACUCCGCCUGGGGAGUACGACCGCAAGGUUGAAACUCAAAGGAAUUGACGGGGACCCGCACAAGCGGUGGAGCAUGUGGUUUAAUUCGAAGCAACGCGAAGAACCUUACCAAAUCUUGACAUCCUUUGACCGCUCUAGAGAUAGAGUCUUCCCCUUCGGGGGACAAAGUGACAGGUGGUGCAUGGUUGUCGUCAGCUCGUGUCGUGAGAUGUUGGGUUAAGUCCCGCAACGAGCGCAACCCUUAAGCUUAGUUGCCAUCAUUAAGUUGGGCACUCUAAGUUGACUGCCGGUGACAAACCGGAGGAAGGUGGGGAUGACGUCAAAUCAUCAUGCCCCCUAUGAUUUGGGCUACACACGUGCUACAAUGGACAAUACAAAGGGCAGCUAAACCGCGAGGUCAAGCAAAUCCCAUAAAGUUGUUCUCAGUUCGGAUUGUAGUCUGCAACUCGACUACAUGAAGCUGGAAUCGCUAGUAAUCGUAGAUCAGCGUGCUACGGUGAAUACGUUCCCGGGUCCUGUACACACCGCCCGUCACACCACGAGAGUUUGUAACACCCGAAGCCGGUGGAGUAACCAUUUAUGGAGCUAGCCGUCGAAGGUGGACAAAUGAUUGGGGGAAGUCGUACCAAGGUGGCAUGG